This 116-nucleotide small RNA is filed under the name Marmota monax (woodchuck). The record is from RNAcentral. Lineage: Eukaryota; Metazoa; Chordata; Mammalia; Rodentia; Sciuridae.
GCUGGGCACGGGGGUGCAUAACUGUAAUCCCAGCCACUCAGGAGGCUGAGGCAGGAGGAUCGCUGAGCCUCAGCAACAAAGGAGGCCCUAAGCAACUUAGUGAGACUCUGUCUCCA